Molecule: ribosomal RNA, 421 nt
Filed under: uncultured eukaryote
Lineage: Eukaryota
Description: SSU rRNA
Rfam family: Eukaryotic small subunit ribosomal RNA
Source: RNAcentral
CAAUAGCGUAUAUUAAAGUUGUUGCGGUUAAAAGCUCGUAGUUGGAUUUCUGUUGAGGACGUCCGGUCCGCACUUUGUGCGUGUAUCUGGUUCGGCCUUGACAUCCUCUUGGAGAUUGUGGCUGCGCUUGAUUGCGUGGUCCGGGAUUCAAGACUUUUACUUUGAGGAAAUUAGAGUGUUCACGGCAGGCAAACGCCUUGAAUACAUUAGCAUGGAAUAAUAAUAUAGGACCUUGGUUCUAUUUUGUUGGUUUCUAGAACUAAGGUAAUGAUUAAUAGGGAUAAUUGGGGGCAUUUGUAUUAACACGUCAGAGGUGAAAUUCUUGGAUUGUGUUACGACAAACUACUGCGAAAGCAUUUGCCAAGGAUGUUUUCAUUGAUCAAGAACGAAAGUAAGGGGAUCGAAGACGAUUAGAUACCGU